AACGAACGCUGGCGGCAUGCCUAACACAUGCAAGUCGAACGAGACCUUCGGGUCUAGUGGCGCACGGGUGCGUAACACGUGGGAAUUUGCCUCGGGGUAUGGAAUAACUCAGGGAAACUUGAGCUAAUACCAUAUAAUGUCUUCGGACCAAAGAUUUAUCGCCCUGAGAUAAGCCCGCGUAGGAUUAGCUAGUUGGUGAGGUAAAGGCUCACCAAGGCGACGAUCUGUAGCUGGUCUGAGAGGACGACCAGCCACACUGGGACUGAGACACGGCCCAGACCCCUACGGGAGGCAGCAGUGGGGAAUUUUGGACAAAUGGGCGCAAGCCUGAUCCAGCAAUGCCGCGUGCAGGAUGAAGGCCU
RNAcentral lists this ribosomal RNA (362 nucleotides) under uncultured bacterium. RNAcentral's name for it is "bacterial SSU rRNA". It matches the Rfam family "Bacterial small subunit ribosomal RNA", at positions 29 to 417 of the family's 1533-position model. The record is from RNAcentral.